Molecule: ribosomal RNA, 375 nt
Filed under: uncultured bacterium
Lineage: Bacteria
Description: bacterial SSU rRNA
Rfam family: Bacterial small subunit ribosomal RNA
Source: RNAcentral
GUAGUCCACGCCGUAAACGAUGAGUGCUAAGUGUUAGGGGGUUUCCGCCCCUUAGUGCUGCAGCAAACGCAUUAAGCACUCCGCCUGGGGAGUACGACCGCAAGGUUGAAACUCAAAUGAAUUGACGGGGACCCGCACAAGCGGUGGAGCAUGUGGUUUAAUUCGAAGCAACGCGAAGAACCUUACCAAAUCUUGACAUCCUUUGAUCACUCUAGAGAUAGAGUUUCCCUUAUGGGCAAAGUGACAGGUGGUGCAUGGUUGUCGUCAGCUCGUGUCGUGAGAUGUUGGGUUAAGUCCCGCAACGAGCGCAACCCUUAAUAUUAGUUGCCAUCAUUGAGUUGGGCACUCUAAUGUGACUGCCGGUGACAAACCGGA